AAUGAACGUUGGCGGCGUGGAUUAGGCAUGCAAGUCGUGCGCGAACUGUAGCAAUACGGGGAAAGCGGCGUAAGGGAGAGUAAUACGUAGGUAUCUACCCAUGGGUCUGGGAUAGCGGCGGGAAACUGCCGGUAAUACCAGAUAACGUCUCCGGACCAAAGGUGUGAUUCCACCUGUGGAGGAGCCUACGGCCUAUUAGCUAGUUGGAAGGGUAACGGCCUACCAAGGCUUGGAUGGGUACGGGGUGUGAGAGCAUGCCCCCGNUCACUGGGACUGAGACACUGCCCAGACACCUACGGGUGGCUGCAGUCGAGAAUCUUCGGCAAUGGGCGCAAGCCUGACCGAGCGACGCCGCGUGCGGGAUGAAGGCCUUGGGUUGUAAACCGCUGUCGUAGGGGAUGAAACGCUAGUGAGUUAUCUCAUUAGUUUGACUGAACCUAGGAGGAAGGCCGGCUAAUCUCGUGCCAGCAGCCGCGGUAAUGUCGAAUAUCG
This 492-nucleotide ribosomal RNA is filed under the name uncultured bacterium. Its description in RNAcentral is "bacterial SSU rRNA". It matches the Rfam family "Bacterial small subunit ribosomal RNA", at positions 29 to 536 of the family's 1533-position model. The record is from RNAcentral.